AGUUGGCUCAGUGGUAGAGUGCUUGCCUAGCAUGCAGGAUGCCUGAGUUCAAUUCCUCAGUACUA
This 65-nucleotide transfer RNA is filed under the name Dipodomys ordii (Ord's kangaroo rat). It matches the Rfam family "tRNA". From Rfam's summary of the family: Transfer RNA (tRNA) molecules are approximately 80 nucleotides in length. Their secondary structure includes four short double-helical elements and three loops (D, anti-codon, and T loops). The record is from Rfam by way of RNAcentral. Lineage: Eukaryota; Metazoa; Chordata; Mammalia; Rodentia; Heteromyidae.